Molecule: non-coding RNA, 253 nt
Filed under: uncultured bacterium
Lineage: Bacteria
Also listed under: 1 other name
Description: partial 16S ribosomal RNA
Rfam family: Bacterial small subunit ribosomal RNA
Source: RNAcentral
UACGUAGGGGGCAAGCGUUGUCCGGAAUCAUUGGGCGUAAAGAGCGCGUAGGCGGUCCGGUAAGUCAGCUGUGAAAGUCAAGGGCUCAACCCUUGAAAGCCGGUUGAUACUGUCGGGCUAGAGUCCGGAAGAGGCGAGUGGAAUUCCCGGUGUAGCGGUGAAAUGCGCAGAUAUCGGGAGGAACACCAAUGGCGAAGGCAGCUCGCUGGGACGGUACUGACGCUGAGGCGCGAAAGCGUGGGGAGCAAACAGG